RNAcentral lists this ribosomal RNA (900 nucleotides) under uncultured archaeon. Its description in RNAcentral is "bacterial SSU rRNA". It matches the Rfam family "Archaeal small subunit ribosomal RNA", at positions 1 to 878 of the family's 1478-position model. The record is from RNAcentral.
CUCCGGUUGAUCCCGCCGGACCCGACUGCUAUCGGAUUGAGAUUUAGCCAUGCGAGUCGAACGUUCCCCUGUUGCGGGGGGCGUGGCGUACGGCUCAGUAACACGUAGUCAACCUGCCCUGGAGACAUGGAUAACCCCGGGAAACUGGGAUUAAUACAUGAUAGGUCAUCUCAUCUGGAAGGAGAGAUGGCUUAAAGGGGUGUGCGAGCUUCUUUCGUAUACUUGCUCCAGGAUGGGACUGCGACUGAUCAGGCUGUUGGCGGGGUAAUGGCCCACCAAACCAGUAACCAGUACGGGCCUUGAGAGAGGGGGCCCGGAGAUGGACACUGAGAGAAGGGUCCAGGUCCUACGGGGCGCAGCAGGCGCGAAACCUUCGCAAUGCGCGAAAGCGUGACGAGGUUAAUCCGAGUGGUUCCCGCUGAGGGAAUCUUUUGUCGGCUGUAAAAAGGCCGGCGAAUAAGGGGAGGGCAAGUCUGGUGUCAGCCGCCGCGGUAAUACCAGCUCCUCGAGUGGUCGGGGCGAUUAUUGGGCCUAAAGCAUCCGUAGCCGGUUCCGUAGGUCCUCUGUUAAAUCCAACGGCUUAACCGUUGGCCUGCAGAGGAUACCGCGGGACUAGGAGGCGGGAGAGGCAGGCGGUACUCUACGUGUAGGGGUAAAAUCCUUUGAUCCGUAGAAGACCACCAGUGGCGAAGGCGGCCCGCCAGAACGCGCUCGACGGUGAGGGAUGAAAGCUGGGGGAGCAAACCGGAUUAGAUACCCGGGUAGUCCCAGCUGUAAACGAUGCAGACUCGGUGAUGAGUUGGCUUCUUGCCAACUCAGUGCCGCAGGGAAGCCGUUAAGUUUGCCGCCUGGGGAGUACGGUCGCAAGACUGAAACUUAAAGGAAUUUGGGCGGGGAGCA